GUCGAACGAUAUAGUGGCAGACGGGUGAGUAACGCGUGGAAACGUGCCUUUCACUACGGAAUAGCUCCGGGAAACUGGAAUUAAUACCGUAUACGCCCUCCGGGGGAAAGAUUUAUCGGUGAAAGAUCGGUCCGCGUUAGAUUAGAUAGUUGGUGGGGUAAUGGCCUACCAAGUCUACGAUCUAUAGCUGGUCUGAGAGGAUGAUCAGCCACACUGGGACUGAGACACGGCCCAGACUCCUACGGGAGGCAGCAGUGGGGAAUCUUGCACAAUGGGCGAAAGCCUGAUGCAGCCAUGCCGCGUGAAUGAUGAAGGCCUUAGGGUUGUAAAAUUCUUUCGCUAGGGACGAUAAUGACGGUACCUAGUAAAGAAGCCCCGGCUAACUUCGUGCCAGCAGCCGCGGUAAUACGAAGGGGGCUAGCGUUGUUCGGAAUUACUGGGCGUAAAGCGCGCGUAGGCGGACUAACAAGUUGGAUGUGAAAUCCCAGGGCUCAACUCUGGAACUGCAUUCAAAACUGUUAGUCUAGAGGCCAGGAGAGGUCAGUGGAAUACCGAGUGUAGAGGUGAAAUUCGUAGAUAUUCGGUGGAACACCAGUGGCGA
Molecule: ribosomal RNA, 601 nt
Filed under: uncultured Gammaproteobacteria bacterium
Lineage: Bacteria; Pseudomonadati; Pseudomonadota; Gammaproteobacteria
Description: bacterial SSU rRNA
Rfam family: Bacterial small subunit ribosomal RNA
Source: RNAcentral